RNAcentral lists this ribosomal RNA (279 nucleotides) under Triticum aestivum (bread wheat). RNAcentral's name for it is "partial small subunit ribosomal RNA". Lineage: Eukaryota; Viridiplantae; Streptophyta; Magnoliopsida; Poales; Poaceae. The record is from RNAcentral.
AUGGUCUCAAUCAACUCAGAUAAUCUAGAGGUGAUUGAGACCAUGCAGGACGAAGGACAGUCAACGGGUGCGGCGGCGGCAAUCUUCGAUGACUGCUUCCACUACGCAUGUGAUUUCAUCAUGACUAGAUUCGAACAUUGUAAUAGAGAGGCAAAUAAAGUAGCACAUGAACUUGCUAGAUUAGCUAGAUUUUCUUCAACUUCAGAUUGGUUCGAGGAGCCUAUCAGUGAAAUUGUACUCAUCCUCAUAAACGAUGUAUUGAUUAUUUCUAAUGAAUAA